GUUUGAUUGGACUAUCUUGAAAUAUCAGCAGACGCAGAGGUCAAAGUCCCAGCUAGAACUACCUAGUCUGCAUCCACUUUCUGUAACGACAGGUUCUGGAGCAUUGCCAAAAGUUUUAAAUAAGCAAGGAGGUAAUAAUGCUACACUUUUAGCUGAAGCUACAAAACAGAAGGUAUCAAGUAAUUUUGUACGUGGUGAUGGAUCAGCAGCUAAUCUGAAAUCUGAUUACCGAACUGGAAAAAAUGUAACAUUCAAUACUUCUGGUCCUUCUACGUCGUUGGCUGAUGCUUUCAAGAGAAGCUUCCCGAAAAACGAAGAUUCAAUUGAUGUUGGAAAUGUAGGUCAUGCACACAGUGGAAAAACUGGUGCUUCAAGCAGCAAGCUGCAUUUCUUAAGCAGGAUUUCUUCCAAGUGAACUGGAGGAUUUUAUGUGGGAGAAUUGCAGAAGUGAAGGUCUACUUUGUGAUGUUGAAUUCACUUAAACCCUGUGUACCAGUAAGGCAUCCAUCUCGAGGUGACCAUGAAGUAUAAAGCAAUGAAUGUUACUAAAAGAUGACCUAUGAAAACUUGGUCGCCAUUUUAAGUUUUCUCCGUCUUGAAUUAUAGGACAGUGACUAAGCCAGCUACAGUUCACAAUUAAGCUAUGUGUAAAGUGUUCUUUUCAUUCCUUUUUCUAAUAGAGCAUAAAAGUGACAUUCAAAUGUUAGAUUGUCUUAUUCGACUCUUAUCUGUAUUUUAUUUCUUCAAUUCCUUUGCACAAAGCCUGGAGAAGUUUUAAUAGGUGCUCAAGUUUCUGAAAGCUCAAAUCUGGUAUAGAGCAUUUCAGACAUUUUAUGUCAUGAACUUGAUGAUGAAGCCUGCCUUUGGUGUUGAAGUUCCAAUGGGGCACCAUCAUGGCUCUUAUAACUAAUCAACCUUGCAUUUGUUUAUAAUCCUAUACUUGCUGCGGAGAUGAUGGAAUUCUAUAACCUGGACUCAGAGGUACUAUGUGAUUAGAGUCAUAGCUUUUAUGCUCCUCUUUUUAUUUUGUCUAA
Molecule: unclassified non-coding RNA, 1034 nt
Filed under: Hevea brasiliensis (rubber tree)
Lineage: Eukaryota; Viridiplantae; Streptophyta; Magnoliopsida; Malpighiales; Euphorbiaceae
Source: RNAcentral